Pantherophis guttatus is the source of this 655-nucleotide non-coding RNA. Lineage: Eukaryota; Metazoa; Chordata; Lepidosauria; Squamata; Colubridae. The record is from RefSeq and is a predicted model, not a curated record.
AGCAAACACAACCUUCCCAGAGAGUGAGAAAAAGUUAUCAAUAAGCUUCUGUCAAGCCCCAGGAGCAAAGAGAGAAACGAAAGGGGAGAGACCAAUGGACUAGAUGGAGAAAAGAAGAGAAGGCUUCUCCCCAGCAUCACCCACAUCACAAUCAGACCAGUGACUUCCAGGCUCCAGAUUCAGCUUCAAAUUUCCAGUCCAUUGGUCUCAAGUGUACUUUAAUGGAACAUGAAGACAUCGCUUUUGUUCUAUAAUACAGAUGCACACCGCUCAGCUAAAAAGAUGAUGAAGCAGGGAGCCAGCUGUGUCAAUGGGAACCUUAGCUUCCUGUCUUUCCCUGCAUGAACAGCACUACUCCAUACAAGCUGAAGAGGAAAGCUCAGGCUCUUUGGUGUCCCACUGGAUAUUAGACCAGGUUCACCUGCCCAAUGUCUUUCCCGACUGAAGAAUGGGUGGACAGCCGAAACACGUGGUCUCCCCUAUUUGCAAAAGUGGUUCUUGUCAGAUAUUGGCCAUCUAUUUGUUGAAAAAGCACACAGUGGCUGAACCAUACUUAUUGGCAAUUCAUCUGAGCUGCUUGCAAAGAGGAGGCUGUUAUUACAAAUUCAGGAACAGGUUCAAGCAGAAAACCAGACCGGAAGACAGAUGGAGACUA